CAAUUCUGUUCUCCUUAUCUGGCAAACACCCGGAGGGAACAGAAGUUCAUAUGAAUUAGAAGUUUUAGGCAAUUCAUCAUCCAUUGUGAGCCUUGAUUCUCUUGAUACAUCUUACCUUGUGGACCAUUUAAUACCUGGGAACUUUUACACAUUCAAUAUCUAUGCCAAAGCUGGAAACGGUUUGACUGGGGGCAUCGCAGAAAACUAUGCAUUCAC
Pelobates cultripes (western spadefoot toad) is the source of this 216-nucleotide non-coding RNA. The record is from the annotation of a GenBank genome assembly. Lineage: Eukaryota; Metazoa; Chordata; Amphibia; Anura; Pelobatidae.